This is a non-coding RNA of Heterocephalus glaber (naked mole-rat), 793 nucleotides long. The record is from RefSeq and is a predicted model, not a curated record. Lineage: Eukaryota; Metazoa; Chordata; Mammalia; Rodentia; Bathyergidae.
UCUCAACUAGAAUGCGAGUUUCCAGAAGUUAGUGCCUUAGAUGAUCUUGUUUACUACUCUAUUCUCAGUACACAAUUCAGAGGAUUAGAUGAUAAUGGCUGCAUAAAAGGCGCUAAUGUGCAUACCUGAACUCAAGAAGAAAACACUGAGAACAGGUGAUCCCAAAGAACAAUGAAAAUAUUCAAACCACAGCCCAAGAAGUAUAUGUUCGGUGCUUAUUGUUCACAUGUUUUAAGUGAGGAAAUAGGCAUGCUCAGAGUCAGUUGCAUAAGGCUAACUCUACGCUCAUACUAUAUGAAUACUGCUAAUGUUAAGGUCUUAGGCAACAAGCGGGAGAAAAGAAUAUGAUGCUGUAAUGUCGACAUUUCACUGGUCAUAUGACUUCUUUGAAGAUGAACUAAUUUCUCACCAGGUUAGUGAAGAAUUUUAUAGUAUGAAAGUUGUUAAUGAGCAUGGGAAGGAAACUCCUUUUACUCCUUGGCUCUCAAAGAGCACAAAGCUUGGGCAGCAGUAUCCAAAACAGGAGGCUUAUUUGGCUUUCGAAUAUGUAAUGAUCCAUCAGUGCUAUAUUUCUAUGUAAUAUUUUCAUAUUCAUAUUUCAUAUGUAAUAUUUUCAUAUGUUCAAAAAUAUACUCACCCUUUCUAACCAACCACUACCCUUUAUAAAGUUGAUUACUUAUACACAUUUGGACAGCACUUGCCCACAGAAUAGAAGGUCCAGAGUAAACAGAUACCACAUCAUGUGGCCGGGGAUUUGGCUCAGUGGUUUCGCCGCCUGUUGUGCAAGCAGAAG